AAAAUCUCUUUAAUGAAAUUUUCGUUAUUACGAUUUUACCCCUGCUGAAUGAAAAUAAUUCCAGACCCAAAAAAUUUUUGCUCUUCGCGGUCCUGUUCCUCUCCUCUUCCUCUACGAUCUCCCCCGCCGCUUCAACGUCGGCAUGCUCAACCGCUGGAGCUCCGGCCAGACGCCGGUCACCGCCCAAACGUGGCCGCAGAACUCCGGCCUUAAGUUUUGGUCUUUGCUAAUCCAGAUUUCACUCUCUUCAGGUUCAGUCAAUCCUUCGUUUGCCGAGUUUCGCAUAAUCAAGCAGACGAUCGGAGCUUCUAAACUGAACUUCCAUAGCCUAGCACCUCACGACGACGCCAAUUUUAUCGUUGGAGCUAGAAGCAUCUAUGCAUCAGGGGCAAGAGCAGCAAAUGCCUUCAUUUAAUCUCCCAUCUAAAAUUCUUUGUGAAGUUUUUAAUGUUCAGCUUCGGUUUUACUUUUAACUUGGAGUGCUGGCUGAAAUGGAAACAGAUGAAGUUUACGCACAAAUUACUCUAUUACCAGAACAAGAUCAAAGCGAGGUUACUAGCCCUGAUCCUCCACUUCCAGAACCUUCAAAAUGCACUGUGCAUUCAUUUUGCAAGACACUGGCUGCUUCUGAUACAAGCACCCAUGGCGGAUUCUCUGUCCUCAGGAGGCAUGCGGAUGAUUGUCUGCCACCACCGGGCAACCUAGACGUCACUUACUCACAACUGGCUGAAGUGUUUUUGUCAGUUCCAAAAAAUUAGUAGCUGGUGAUGCAUUUAAAUUUUUUAGGCAAGUUCUUUUUGCUCAAGACAAGCUCUCGUGCGCAAGACAUGGAUAAUUGUUAUUAUGUUAGAUGCUUUCUGUUGUGUUUACUUACUACUUAUCGUUUCCAGAGGUGAAAACAGAGU
Molecule: RNA transcript, 905 nt
Organism: Morus notabilis
Lineage: Eukaryota; Viridiplantae; Streptophyta; Magnoliopsida; Rosales; Moraceae
Gene name: auxin response factor 1
Exons: 6
Source: RefSeq, a predicted model, not a curated record